GUUUGCUUUGGCGGGGCAUAUACUAAAAUUGGAAUAAUACAGAGUAGGUUAGCAUGGUUUCUGCAGAAGGAUGACAAACAAAUUUGUGAAGCGUUCCAUAUUAAA
Molecule: small nuclear RNA, 105 nt
Filed under: Zalophus californianus (California sea lion)
Lineage: Eukaryota; Metazoa; Chordata; Mammalia; Carnivora; Otariidae
Also listed under: 1 other name
Source: RNAcentral